Xylaria castorea is the source of this 99-nucleotide non-coding RNA. NCBI's taxonomy places the organism in Eukaryota, Fungi, Ascomycota, Sordariomycetes, Xylariales, Xylariaceae. The record is from the annotation of a GenBank genome assembly.
GGUCCCAUAUCUCAGUUGGUCAGAGCGUCGUACUAAUAUUAUAGUUACCCUAUAACAUCUGUAAUGCGAAGGCCGUGAGUUCAAGCCUCACUGGGACCA